Molecule: ribosomal RNA, 447 nt
Filed under: uncultured bacterium
Lineage: Bacteria
Description: partial 16S ribosomal RNA
Rfam family: Bacterial small subunit ribosomal RNA
Source: RNAcentral
AGCGAACGCUGGCGGCAGGCCUAACACAUGCAAGUCGAGCGCCCAGCAAUGGGAGCGGCAGACGGGUGAGUAACGCGUGGGGAUGUGCCCAAUGGUACGGAAUAACCCAGGGAAACUUGGACUAAUACCGUAUGUGCCCUUCGGGGGAAAGAUUUAUCGCCAUUGGAUCAACCCGCGUCGGAUUAGCUAGUUGGUGAGGUAAAGGCUCACCAAGGCGACGAUCCGUAGCUGGUCUGAGAGGAUGAUCAGCCACACUGGGACUGAGACACGGCCCAGACUCCUACGGGAGGCAGCAGUGGGGAAUAUUGGACAAUGGGCGCAAGCCUGAUCCAGCCAUGCCGCGUGUGUGAUGAAGGCCUUAGGGUUGUAAAGCACUUUCGCCGGUGAAGAUAAUGACGGUAACCGGAGAAGAAGCCCCGGCUAACUUCGUGCCAGCCGCCGCGGUAA